Molecule: ribosomal RNA, 253 nt
Filed under: uncultured bacterium
Lineage: Bacteria
Description: partial 16S ribosomal RNA
Rfam family: Bacterial small subunit ribosomal RNA
Source: RNAcentral
UACGAAGGGGGCUAGCGUUGUUCGGAAUUACUGGGCGUAAAGCGCACGUAGGCGGACUAUUAAGUCUGGGGUGAAAUCCUGGAGCUCAACUCCGGAACUGCCUUUGAUACUGGUAGCCUAGAGAUCGGAGGAGGUUAGUGGAAUUCCCAGUGUAGAGGUGAAAUUCGUAGAUAUUGGGAAGAACACCAGUGGCGAAGGCGGCUAACUGGUCCGAUACUGACGCUGAGGUGCGAAAGCGUGGGGAGCAGACAGG